AAAAAAUUAUGUUAAUUACUUUUUAUUUUGUUUUUAUAGUACUAAAUUAACUUUUUUUAUGUUUCUUGCAAAAUUUGCGAGACUGUUUUUGAUUUUGCGAGUUGGUAUUAAAGCUGCUCGCAAUGUUUUGCAAGUAGAAAAAAAAGUUAAUUUCGAGCCCUGGAAUUGCAUGAGGAGAGUUCACGACUUGCAAGACAUGGAUUUAACAUUAAGCACCAGUAUAUAAGGCUCUAUCAACUGAAAAUAUAACAGAUAAUGAGGUUAUCAAACAUAUUGAUUUCUCAGAGAACUAUCAAUGUAAAUAUGCAUCUGAGAUUCAGGGUGUUCAUUUCGGUUCGUCAAAACGCCAAAUUUCUAUUCACACCGGUAUCGCCUAUUUCAAAUCCAAGCAUAUAUCUUUCGCAACCGUAUCGGACGAUUUGAAACACUCCCCUCCUGGAAUAUGGGUACAUCUUGAUCCUAUCCUCUUGCAUAUCCGGCGGACCACUCCUGACAUCAAUAAAAUCCAUUUCGUAUCCGAUGGGCCUACCACACAAUACAGGUGUAAAUCAAUUUUCUACCUCUUUUCUACGAAAAUUUUCGAGUAUGGCUUUAUAAAUGGCGGACGUUGGAAUUUUAUGGAAGCGGAACACGGCAAGGGCGCCCCUGAUGGUAUUGGAGCCGAAGUCAAGCGUGAGGCUGAUACACUCGUCAACACCCAUGAGACGGACAUAACGGGUGUUAGUGCUUUAAUCAGAGGUCUGGAGAAACUAGGAAGCCGUUUGAUGAUCUUCGAAGUGAAAAACGAUGACAUCACGCAACAGGAAGCUGCUAUUCCAACACAGAUUACCGGCGUUUCAUAGACGAUGAAACUCCAUCAGGUUGUUGUCAAAGAAAGCGGGAGAGUUCAGUCAAGAAUCCUGAGUUGUUUCUGUCCACCGGAUUGUUCAUGUUACCAACCGGUUACAACCAAUUGCAAUGUCCAGCCGUUCGCAAAUUCCGUACUGAUGGAUGACGACAGCAUCGUAGGUCCACAAAACGGGGCUGAUCUUCCUUGUCAGAGUCUCAAUGUACCAGUCAGUAUUGACGAGAGUCUAAUUGACAGCUAUUGUUUGGUCGAGUAUGAUGGUAAACCGUAUCCAGGCCUGACCAUUUGACGCUAGAGCCGCAGUUGGUAAACAAUCAGCGGCUAUCUUGCUGUGACCGUUGCAUUGGACAUGAUUUCAAUGGGAGAUGUCUGGUAGUGCUGUUCCUAUACUGUAGACAAGAAGACACCGAUCCACGAACUAUCCACAUCGUCAUAGCACUAGUAGGCACUUUGUUGGCAGGUGACACAUGCCUUGCGGGAGUUACAAUUUACGCGAUAAAGGAGACCCAGCUUCACUUUGACGGUCACCAUCGCAACCGCACGCUCUACCAGUUCGACUGGUCCUUUGCCCUCACUUGCGGAGGCGGGGCUAUGGCGCUGGUCUGCGCGAUGUCCAUGGCGUGCGAGUUACGAAAGGGUCUUGCGGUCAACAGACAUAGCGGAUAUCAAAGCAUACCUGACUCCUGUGAAACAUAAAUCCUCCCCUCCAUCCCGUCUCGUAUGUGUGAGUGAUCAAUAUGCUGAUAGAUAACAAGAACUGGAUGCGUCUAUUUGAAUUGGUACUACGUGAUAUUAGAGCGACGAGUUGUAUAAUACACAUUCGUACCAGUUACAAUUGUUAACUGAUUAUGGUCGAAACCAGCGAAGUUGAUGAUAAUCACUGAAGAGCAUGAAUUCAAAAGAGAACCAUUUGUUUUUUUGGUUCUAUUUGAUUUUGAUACAAACAUGAUAUGUGCGUGGUCAUAUGAACACCUAAAAGAUCAACCGUCAAUUACAUAUAAGGAGGGAAUGUGAUUAGCUUUCGUGGGACGAGUGAUUUCACAAGAGACUUUGGACAAACUUUUGACUGAUGCGUAUGCUUUAUAUUCUUUAAUUAGUUAAUUUGUAAUUUGCUGUGAUUUUAUAGGAUAUCACAAUGAUAUAAAUUGUACCACAAAAGAUUUGAAACUAACGCGUGACUUAUUUAUAUUGAUGCAUAUAGAGAGUUGUGCUUUGAAAUGUGUUUUGUCAUAUAUUCAUUUUCUCAUUUAAAUUUACACGUGUUUCAUUUACAUUUUAAAUAUGUAAAUGGCCGAAACCAUCAUAGUAUAGCAUGCAUCAAACGAUAACACAUCCCUUCUUGUGAAGAACAGUGAAGUUGAUGAAAAUCCACUGAAUCGCACAUAUUACAUUGGAUAUUGGAGUAACUUAUCAGGAACACUUAGUUUGUGAACGGGUUACUUUAGCAAACAGCUGAAGUGAUAUUGAACUGUAGUCCCACUGAAGUUUAUUUGAUAGUGGUUGAAACCUUUUCUUUUGGUUUAUUCAACAUCAAUGCUCAUCACGUUACACU
Long non-coding RNA from Dreissena polymorpha, 2399 nucleotides. RefSeq lists it as uncharacterized. The record is from RefSeq and is a predicted model, not a curated record. NCBI's taxonomy places the organism in Eukaryota, Metazoa, Mollusca, Bivalvia, Myida, Dreissenidae. The transcript is spliced from 8 exons.